This 491-nucleotide ribosomal RNA is filed under the name uncultured bacterium. RNAcentral describes it as "partial 16S ribosomal RNA". It matches the Rfam family "Bacterial small subunit ribosomal RNA", at positions 28 to 507 of the family's 1533-position model. The record is from RNAcentral.
GAUGAACGCUGUCUACAGGCCUAACACAUGCAAGUCGAGGGGAAACGACGGGGACGCUCGCUUCUCCGGUUGUCGACCGGCGCAUGGGUGACUAACGCGUAUCCAACCUGUCUCUGACUGAUGGAUAACCCGUCGCAAGUCUGCCUCAUACCUCAUUGCUUCGUCUCCGGGCUUCAUACUACGAUUAAAGAUUUCUUCGGCCAGUGAUGGGGAUGCGUCUGCUUAGCCUGUUGGCGGGGUAACGGCCUUCCAAGGCUACGAUCAGUAGGGGUUCUGAGAGGAAGGUCCCCCACAUUGGAACUGAGACACGGUCCAAACUCCUACGGGAGGCAGCAGUGAGGAAUAUUGGUCAAUGGGCGGGAGCCUGAACCAGCCAAGUAGCGUGCAGGAUGACGGCCCUAUGGGUUGUAAACUGCUUUUAUGCGGGGAUAAAGUGAGGGACGUGUCCUUCAUUGCAGGUACCGCAUGAAUAAGGACCGGCUAAUUCCGUG